GUGGGGAAUAUUGGACAAUGGGGGGAACCCUGAUCCAGCCAUGCCGCGUGUGUGAAGAAGGCCUUUUGGUUGUAAAGCACUUUAAGCGAGGAGGAGGCUACCGAGAUUAAUACUCUUGGAUAGUGGACGUUACUCGCAGAAUAAGCACCGGCUAACUCUGUGCCAGCAGCCGCGGUAAUACAGAGGGUGCAAGCGUUAAUCGGAUUUACUGGGCGUAAAGUGAGCGUAGGUGGCCAAUUAAGUCAAAUGUGAAAUCCCCGAGCUUAACUUGGGAAUUGCAUUCGAUACUGGUUGGCUAGAGUAUGGGAGAGGAUGGUAGAAUUCCAGGUGUAGCGGUGAAAUGCGUAGAGAUCUGGAGGAAUACCGAUGGCGAAGGCAGCCAUCUGGCCUAAUACUGACACUGAGGUGCGAAAGCAUGGGGAGCAAACAGGAUUAGAAACCCCGGUAGUCC
RNAcentral lists this ribosomal RNA (451 nucleotides) under uncultured bacterium. Its description in RNAcentral is "bacterial SSU rRNA". It matches the Rfam family "Bacterial small subunit ribosomal RNA", at positions 354 to 796 of the family's 1533-position model. The record is from RNAcentral.